AGCAAGCGUUGAUCCGGAGAUGUCCGAAUGGGGGAACCCACUGUCCGUAAUGGGGCAGUAUCCAUGCCUGAAUCCAUAGGGCAUGGAGGGCACACCCGGGGAACUGAAACAUCUUAGUACCCGGAGGAGAAGAAAGCAAACGCGAUUCCCUGAGUAGCGGCGAGCGAAACGGGAACAGCCCAAACCAAGAGGCGUGCCUCUUGGGGUUGUAGGACCGCUCGUUGUGGGAGUGAGAAAGGAACGGGGUAGACGAACCGGUCUGGAACGGCCGGCCAGAGAAGGUGACAGCCCUGUAGUCGAAACUUCGUUCCCUCCCGAGCGGAUCCUGAGUACGGCGGGACACGGGAAAUCCCGUCGGAAGCAGGGAGGACCAUCUCCCAAGGCUAAAUACUCCCUAGUGACCGAUAGUGCACCAGUACCGUGAGGGAAAGGUGAAAAGCA
This 441-nucleotide ribosomal RNA is filed under the name Geobacillus stearothermophilus. RNAcentral describes it as "bacterial LSU rRNA". It matches the Rfam family "Bacterial large subunit ribosomal RNA", at positions 91 to 523 of the family's 2925-position model. Lineage: Bacteria; Bacillati; Bacillota; Bacilli; Caryophanales; Anoxybacillaceae. The record is from RNAcentral.